AUUGAACGCUGGCGGCAUGCUUUACACAUGCAAGUCGAACGGCAGCGCGGGCUUCGGCCUGGCGGCGAGUGGCGAACGGGUGAGUAAUGCAUCGGAACGUGCCCAGUAGUGGGGGAUAGCCCGGCGAAAGCCGGAUUAAUACCGCAUACGACCUGAGGGUGAAAGCGGGGGACCGAAAGGCCUCGCGCUAUUGGAGCGGCCGAUGUCGGAUUAGCUAGUUGGUGGGGUAAAGGCUUACCAAGGCGACGAUCCGUAGCUGGUCUGAGAGGACGACCAGCCACACUGGGACUGAGACACGGCCCAGACUCCUACGGGAGGCAGCAGUGGGGAAUUUUGGGCAAUGGGGGCAAACCUGAUCCAGCCAUGCCGCGUGCGGGAAGAAGGCCUUCGGGUUGGAAACCGCUUUUGUUCGGGAAGAAAUCCUCUUGGCUAAUACCCCGGGGGGAUGACGGUACCGGAAGAAUAAGCACCGGCUAACUACGUG
RNAcentral lists this ribosomal RNA (484 nucleotides) under uncultured bacterium. RNAcentral's name for it is "partial 16S ribosomal RNA". It matches the Rfam family "Bacterial small subunit ribosomal RNA", at positions 28 to 507 of the family's 1533-position model. The record is from RNAcentral.